RNAcentral lists this ribosomal RNA (253 nucleotides) under uncultured bacterium. RNAcentral describes it as "partial 16S ribosomal RNA". It matches the Rfam family "Bacterial small subunit ribosomal RNA", at positions 524 to 776 of the family's 1533-position model. The record is from RNAcentral.
UACGGAGGGAGCUAGCGUUGUUCGGAAUUACUGGGCGUAAAGAGCUCGUAGGUGGUUUGUCGCGUUGUCCGUGAAAACUCACAACUCAAUUGUGGGCGUGCGGGCGAUACGGGCAGACUGGAGUACUGCAGGGGAGACUGGAAUUCCUGGUGUAGCGGUGGAAUGCGCAGAUAUCGGGAGGAACACCGGUGGCGAAGGCGGUUCUCUGGGCCUUACCUGACGCUGAGGAGCGAAAGCGUGGGGAGCGAACAGG